Molecule: ribosomal RNA, 496 nt
Filed under: uncultured bacterium
Lineage: Bacteria
Description: partial 16S ribosomal RNA
Rfam family: Bacterial small subunit ribosomal RNA
Source: RNAcentral
AUGAACGCUGGCGGCGUGCCUAAUACAUGCAAGUCGAGCGAACGGACGAGAAGCUUGCUUCUCUGAUGUUAGCGGCGGACGGGUGAGUAACACGUGGAUAACCUACCUAUAAGACUGGGAUAACUUCGGGAAACCGGAGCUAAUACCGGAUAAUAUUUUGAACCGCAUGGUUCAAAUGUGAAAGACGGUCUUGCUGUCACUUAUAGAUGGAUCCGCGCUGCAUUAGCUAGUUGGUAAGGUAACGGCUUACCAAGGCAACGAUGCAUAGCCGACCUGAGAGGGUGAUCGGCCACACUGGAACUGAGACACGGUCCAGACUCCUACGGGAGGCAGCAGUAGGGAAUCUUCCGCAAUGGGCGAAAGCCUGACGGAGCAACGCCGCGUGAGUGAUGAAGGUCUUCGGAUCGUAAAACUCUGUUAUUAGGGAAGAACAUAUGUGUAAGUAACUGUGCACAUCUUGACGGUACCUAAUCAGAAAGCCACGGCUAACUACGUG